CUAAUUUUCUUUAUUUUAUGAAUCACAGUCUAAAGGCUCAGAAGCAGUUGAUCAUUACCUGUCACAGUAUACAAAACACAUAUCUAAUAUUGGGGAAAAUGUAUGUAUUUUCUCGAGCAGCUAUGUGGAUAUAGGUCUUGCUGAAAAUUUGUAACUGAGCUUGUAAUCUUAACAAUUGUUGUCAAACAGUCAGCUGAUAUGUUCAUAUGUGAAUCAUCCACCCAAUUAGCUAUAAUGCUUUCCAAGGCCAGUACCAUAAAAACAUUGGAUCCAAAAGAGCAUGUGGUAACAUCAAAUGCCAAAUUGGACACAUACAUACGGUAUGAAAAUUUACGCAGAAGACAAGGACCCAUCACUCCAGAGUCUAGGAAAGUUGGGCAAAUGUAAUCUUUUUAUGGAAAAAUGCAAAACCUGUCAGCCA
Molecule: long non-coding RNA, 421 nt
Organism: Triticum aestivum (bread wheat)
Lineage: Eukaryota; Viridiplantae; Streptophyta; Magnoliopsida; Poales; Poaceae
Exons: 3
Source: RefSeq, a predicted model, not a curated record